UUUUCCCACUUAUUAUUACAUUCAUCUAGACCUGCCAGAAAUGAUUAAAUUAAUGAGGGAGUGUGUGGAGUGUGUCCGGGCAUUGAUGUCCUCGAUUAGGGGGACCCCUUCAUCUGCAGCGUCAUCAUCUUCUGUGGACAGUGAAAUUGAAAUGCAUCCCUUGGCAGGCAGCACAGUGACAGUUUGAAAGAGGGCCUUCCUGCGGCUGAAUAGGUCUCACAUGACCAUUUUUGCCCAGGAGCUGGCUGUGCUGGUAUUCACAAAGGAGGGCCUUGCACAGUCCACCCUAACUGGAAAGUCUGGGAGGGGGGGGCCGCCAAAAACACAGCUUGAUGUUGACAAAGUGCAGGCUAUUACAGACGCUGUUCUUCUAGAGUUUCCACAGACAAGUGUCUCUGAUGUGCGCCGCGGCCAUCAGACGAAAGUGUAACAAUGAGCAGUUCAGCCAAAAAAAAGGAACAUAAUGUGUGGUGUGUGUUUCUGUAUGGUGGGAGGGGUUAGGGGUGCAAUAAUAAGGAAUGUUGUUUUUCAUUGUUCACUAUUUCUCAGUGUUCUGUAAAGUUUAUGUGUAAUGUUUAAGUCUGCUGCCUGAAAUGGACCUAUUUCUACAAGGUUUACUAAAGUACCAAUAUUUGAAAAUGUUUAAAAGCCAUAAUGUAAAUGUUCAUACAUUUGUUGUACCACUGUUAAGAGAUAGUACAAGUUUUUUGUAUAUACAAUGUACUAUUCUAAUUAGGAUAUGGUACAAAUACAUUAAAGUAUAUUUUUUCACCUGGAA
Molecule: long non-coding RNA, 778 nt
Organism: Sander lucioperca (pikeperch)
Lineage: Eukaryota; Metazoa; Chordata; Actinopteri; Perciformes; Percidae
Exons: 3
Source: RefSeq, a predicted model, not a curated record